Transfer RNA from Camelus ferus (Wild Bactrian camel), 73 nucleotides. It matches the Rfam family "tRNA". From Rfam's summary of the family: Transfer RNA (tRNA) molecules are approximately 80 nucleotides in length. Their secondary structure includes four short double-helical elements and three loops (D, anti-codon, and T loops). Further hydrogen bonds mediate the characteristic L-shaped molecular structure. tRNAs have two regions of fundamental functional importance: the anti-codon, which is responsible for specific mRNA codon recognition, and the 3' end, to which the tRNAs corresponding amino acid is attached (by aminoacyl-tRNA synthetases). tRNAs cope with the degeneracy of the genetic code in two manners: having more than one tRNA (with a specific anti-codon) for a particular amino acid; and 'wobble' base-pairing, i.e. permitting non-standard base-pairing at the 3rd anti-codon position. NCBI's taxonomy places the organism in Eukaryota, Metazoa, Chordata, Mammalia, Artiodactyla, Camelidae. The record is from Rfam.
GAGGGCAUAGCUCAAGUGGUGGAGCUCAUGCUUAGCACACAUGAGGUUCUGGCUUCAAUCCCCAGUACCUCCU